UUUACCGUGCGGUGGUUAUUUAUCCGUGGUCUUUGCCUGGCCGGGAGCCUUGUGCAUUCGCGAGAACCGCCUCUGCGCAUGGAUACGUGGUCUCGUUCUGUAAUACUGUCUAUAAGCAAUGUGGUAACGACUUGCCCGAUCAUGAACACCGUGUGUUAUGCUAUUUGUGGAUGUAUGCCGUACGUGUAUGUCUGGGUGUCUACCAACCUGGGAAAGUCGAGGAAUUGGGGCCUUGCUGGAAAACUGGAGGAACUUUGGUAAAACCUGGCUAAUUCAUGGAAACUGGUGGCAGUCUGUGCCACCAUCACAAAAAUAAGCAUUACCCUUGAUCAAUACUCAAAAAGUCACUCCUUCAACUGCAACUACAGUGAACAGCUAGAAGAGGCCUAAAAAAAGGCAAUGCAUAACUGUUUCUUCUUAGUGUACAAACAAAAGGAUACACCGACCAAAAUAACACAAAGUUUACUGAUGUUUGGGCACCUGAUAUUGUUCUGAAUGACAGCCAUAAGAAAGGUACAUCGUAUUUAAGAAUGACUAGGUGCAUGAUGUAAGCACCAAAAGUAUACGGUCAGCGUUCCAUAAAUCUUAUUGAGGAUAAGUGCAGCUGUGUGAAUGUGCAGGGAUUCCAGGUGCUGGCAUGAUGCAAGCUUGUUUUCUUCGACCAGAACACGGUUGCUUGACCAGUCAAUUUGAAAGCCUGUAUAUUCCACAUGUUCAGCGAGGGCAUUCAAGGCCACCCAUGAUUUGGUGACUUCAUUUUGAACUGUUGUGUUGUUUAACUCUUUCAUUGAAAUCACAGGUCUCACAGACUGACAUGUUGUCACACUCGUGGCAGGCUACAGUGUAAAGAAGACUACAGAAAGUUCGGCUCGGCAGCUUAUUCUUCUCAUUGACUAAAGCAUUCCUUAGCUUCCAUGUUGGUACAUGCACUAUUUUGAUGUAUGUUCCUUCUACAUAUCACAUACCAUAUCUGACUUUCCAAGCACAGCAUUUCUCACAUCGGUAAAUUUGUGCAUAUUUGUCGUGGCCACAAAUUCGGCUUGGCUUGAAGGCCUUUUAGUUUGGUGCUUAUGUUAGAACUGCCAUCACAAGAGGUUUGCUGGGCUAUGUCUUGCCUUGUAUAAUAUUACUGCUAUUAUUAUUAUUAUUGGCGAUGCAGCUGCAAACGUCCUCCGCUAUGCACUUAUUGCUGAUAUUUCAAGAGUAGCACACUCUCUUCUCAUUUCAUUUCCUUGAGAUGGUGAUAUUAAAUCCAUGAGUAUUUUUUACCAUUAUGUUCAUAGAAGAGUACGUAAAUGAAGGUAACCAAAACACGCAACUUAUCUUCACAAAAAAAGCCUAAUGGCUUUUUCAGCUUGUCUUUGUUGUACAUAGCCUGGUCACUCCUCACCACGGUGUUCAUGCUGUCUGAGACGCAUCUGGAAGAUAAGUUGCAUGUGUUGGUUGCUGACAAGGAAGGCUUCUUUUCAACUCUAGAUGGCUCUAUGUAUAAUGAUAAGGUAGUCACUGGUUUGGAAAAAAGCUGAAUAAAUCAUUUUCUGAGCAACU
This 1548-nucleotide long non-coding RNA is filed under the name Rhipicephalus microplus (southern cattle tick). RNAcentral's name for it is "uncharacterized LOC119173503". The record is from RNAcentral. Lineage: Eukaryota; Metazoa; Arthropoda; Arachnida; Ixodida; Ixodidae.